AAGUGGCGCACGGGUGAGUAAUGUAUAGGUAAUAUGCCUCUUACUAAGGGAUAACAAUUGGAAACGAUUGCUAAUACCUUAUACUCCUUGUUAACUUAAGUUAAUAAGGGAAAGAUUUAUUGGUAAGAGAUUAGCCUGUAUUGUAUCAGUUAGUUGGUGGGGUAAUGGCCUACCAAGACUAUGACACAUAACUGGUUUGAGAGGAUGAUCAGUCACACUGGAACUGAGACACGGUCCAGACUCCUACGGGAGGCAGCAGUGGGGAAUAUUGCACAAUGGACGAAAGUCUGAUGCAGCAACGCCGCGUGGAGGAUGACACAUUUCGGUGCGUAAACUCCUUUUAUAUGAGAAGAUAAUGACGGUAUUAUAUGAGUAAGCACCGGCUAACUCCGUGCCAGCAGCCGCGGUAAUACGGGGGGUGCAAGCGUUACUCGGAAUCACUGGGCGUAAAGAGCAUGUAGGCGGAUUGAUAAGUUUGAAGUGAAAUCCUAUAGCUUAACUAUAGAACUGCUUUGAAAACUGUUAAUCUAGAAUGUGGGAGAGGUAGAUGGAAUUUCUGGUGUAGGGGUAAAAUCCGUAGAGAUCAGAAGGAAUACCGAUUGCGAAGGCGAUCUACUGGAACAUUAUUGACGCUGAGAUGCGAAAGCGUGGGGAGCAAACAGGAUUAGAUACCCUGGUAGUCCACGCCCUAAACGAUGUACACUAGUUGUUGUGAGACUUGAUCCUUGCAGUAAUGCAGUAACACAUUAAGU
RNAcentral lists this ribosomal RNA (752 nucleotides) under uncultured Campylobacterota bacterium. Its description in RNAcentral is "bacterial SSU rRNA". It matches the Rfam family "Bacterial small subunit ribosomal RNA", at positions 93 to 865 of the family's 1533-position model. The record is from RNAcentral. Lineage: Bacteria; Pseudomonadati; Campylobacterota.